This 215-nucleotide ribosomal RNA is filed under the name uncultured bacterium. RNAcentral's name for it is "partial 16S ribosomal RNA". It matches the Rfam family "Bacterial small subunit ribosomal RNA", at positions 1278 to 1500 of the family's 1533-position model. The record is from RNAcentral.
AAAACCUGUCUCAGUUCGGAUUGGAGUCUGCAACCCGACUCCAUGAAGCUGGAUUCGCUAGUAAUCGCGCAUCAGCCACGGCGCGGUGAAUACGUUCCCGGGCCUUGUACACACCGCCCGUCAAGCCAUGGAAGCCGGGAGUGCCUGAAGUGCGUGACCGCAAGGAACGCCCUAGGGUAAAACCGGUGACUGGGGCUAAGUCGUAACAAGGUACC